RNAcentral lists this ribosomal RNA (463 nucleotides) under uncultured bacterium. RNAcentral describes it as "bacterial SSU rRNA". It matches the Rfam family "Bacterial small subunit ribosomal RNA", at positions 28 to 507 of the family's 1533-position model. The record is from RNAcentral.
GACGAACGCUGGCGGCGUGCCUAACACAUGCAAGUCGAGCGAGGAGAGUUCCUUCGGGAACAAACCUAGCGGCGGACGGGUGAGUAACACGUGGGCAACCUGCCUUGUAGAGGGAAUAGCCUUCCGAAAGGAAGAUUAAUACCGCAUAACAUUACAGUUUCGCAUGAAACAGUAAUUAAAGGAGUAAUCCGCUACAAGAUGGGCCCGCGGCGCAUUAGCUAGCUGGUGAGGUAACGGCUCACCAAGGCGACGAUGCGUAGCCGACCUGAGAGGGUGAUCGGCCACAUUGGGACUGAGACACGGCCCAGACUCCUACGGGAGGCAGCAGUGGGGAAUAUUGCACAAUGGGGGAAACCCUAAUGCAGCAACGCCGCGUGAGUGAUGAAGGUUUUCGGAUCGUAAAGCUCUGUCUUCGGGGACGAUAAUGACGGUACCCGAGGAGGAAGCCACGGCUAACUACGUG